Molecule: ribosomal RNA, 465 nt
Filed under: uncultured bacterium
Lineage: Bacteria
Description: partial 16S ribosomal RNA
Rfam family: Bacterial small subunit ribosomal RNA
Source: RNAcentral
CUACGGGGGGCUGCAGUGAGGAAUCUUGCGCAAUGGGGGAAACCCUGACGCAGCGACGCCGCGUGGGUGAUGAAGGCCUUCGGGUCGUAAAGCCCUGUCGAGAGGGAAGAAUUGCAUUUAGGUUAAUAGCCUAAUUGUUUGACGGUACCUCCAAAGGAAGCACCGGCUAACUCCGUGCCAGCAGCCGCGGUAAUACGGAGGGUGCAAGCGUUGUUCGGAAUCACUGGGCGUAAAGGGCGUGUAGGCGGCUGAGUAAGUCAGGUGUGAAAUCCCUCGGCUCAACCGAGGAAGUGCAUUUGAUACUGGUCAUCUUGAGUACGGGAGAGGGAGAUGGAAUUCCCGGUGUAGAGGUGAAAUUCGUAGAUAUCGGGAGGAACACCAGUGGCGAAGGCGAUCUCCUGGACAGAUACUGACGCUAAGGCGCGAAAGCGUGGGGAGCAAACAGGAUUAGAUACCCCGGUAGUC